Molecule: transfer RNA, 72 nt
Filed under: Bacteroidales bacterium
Lineage: Bacteria; Pseudomonadati; Bacteroidota; Bacteroidia; Bacteroidales
Description: tRNA-Gly
Rfam family: tRNA
About the family: Transfer RNA (tRNA) molecules are approximately 80 nucleotides in length. Their secondary structure includes four short double-helical elements and three loops (D, anti-codon, and T loops).
Source: RNAcentral
GCAGUAAUAGUUCAGCGGUAGAAUGUUGGCUUCCCAAGCCGAAGGUCGCGAGUUCGAAUCUCGUUUACUGCU